Long non-coding RNA from Thalassophryne amazonica, 98 nucleotides. RefSeq lists it as uncharacterized. The record is from RefSeq and is a predicted model, not a curated record. The transcript has 3 exons. Lineage: Eukaryota; Metazoa; Chordata; Actinopteri; Batrachoidiformes; Batrachoididae.
GAAGAAACACGUAUUUUUAAAGAAAUCCCUUGGUGUUUGUCUGCUUCAGGUGCAUUUCUCACCCUGAACCAGAGUACCCUGGUGUUCUGUGCCCACCA